GGAAAAAGCAAUUCCAUUGAAUCCUAGUAACACCAGAAGUUGACUGUUCUAUGUAAAUACGCUACAUGAAUACACACGUCUUAACGAAUAUUUGAACAUUACAAUGUGUUUAAAGGACAGAUAAAUAGAUACACUUGAGAGCGCGCACACACAACACACAAUUACAAUCCAAAGGAUCCCAAACAGUAGACUGGAUUAAUUGGAUGGAAGGGAGA
RNAcentral lists this unclassified non-coding RNA (215 nucleotides) under Hevea brasiliensis (rubber tree). The record is from RNAcentral. Lineage: Eukaryota; Viridiplantae; Streptophyta; Magnoliopsida; Malpighiales; Euphorbiaceae.